CCUACGGGUGGCAGCAGUGAGGAAUAUUGGUCAAUGGGCGCUAGCCUGAACCAGCCAAGUAGCGUGCAGGAUGACUGCCCUAUGGGUUGUAAACUUCUUUUAUAUGGGAAUAAAGUGCAGUAUGUAUACUGCUUUUCGUGUACAUUAUGAAUAAGGAGAGGCUAACUCUGUGCCAGCAGCGGCGGUAAUACGGGGGAUCCGAGCGUUAUCCGGAUUUAUUGGGUUUAAAGGGAGCGUAGGCGGGUUGUUAAGUCAGUUGUGAAAGUUUGCGGCUCAACCGUAAAAUUGCAGUUGAUACUGGCAGCCUUGAGUACAGGAGAGGUAGGAGGAAUUCGUGGUGUAGCGGUGAAAUGCUUAGAUAUCACGAAGAACUCCGAUCGCGAAGGCAGCCUGCUGGACUGUAACUGACGCUGAUGCUCGAAAGUGUGGGUAUCAAACAGGAUUAGAUACCCGAGUAGUC
Molecule: ribosomal RNA, 460 nt
Filed under: uncultured bacterium
Lineage: Bacteria
Description: partial 16S ribosomal RNA
Rfam family: Bacterial small subunit ribosomal RNA
Source: RNAcentral